This 277-nucleotide ribosomal RNA is filed under the name uncultured Alistipes sp. RNAcentral describes it as "partial 16S ribosomal RNA". It matches the Rfam family "Bacterial small subunit ribosomal RNA", at positions 511 to 788 of the family's 1533-position model. The record is from RNAcentral. Lineage: Bacteria; Pseudomonadati; Bacteroidota; Bacteroidia; Bacteroidales; Rikenellaceae.
GCAGCCGCGGUAAUACGGAGGAUCCAAGCGUUAUCCGGAUUUAUUGGGUUUAAAGGGUGCGUAGGCGGUUUGAUAAGUUAGAGGUUAAAUGUCAGUGCUCAACACUGGCCUGCCUCUAAUACUGUUGAACUAGAGAGUAGAUGCGGUAGGCGGAAUGUAUGGUGUAGCGGUGAAAUGCGUAGAGAUCAUACAGAACACCGAUUGCGAAGGCAGCUUACCAAACUAUAUCUGACGUUGAGGCACGAAAGCGUGGGUAGCAAACAGGAUUAGAUACCCC